Cydia amplana is the source of this 260-nucleotide long non-coding RNA. RefSeq lists it as uncharacterized. NCBI's taxonomy places the organism in Eukaryota, Metazoa, Arthropoda, Insecta, Lepidoptera, Tortricidae. The record is from RefSeq and is a predicted model, not a curated record. The transcript is spliced from 2 exons.
UACAAGCUUUUAUCGCUGACUGUACUUUUCUUUCCACAGGCAACUAAUACUCAUCGAGACAAUUCUUAAAACCCCAACAUACAAUUAGGUUGCGUUGUUUUAUCACAGAGUUCCUAUGGCCACCUCCUGUCUCCAUCAUCAGAUCAGCUCGAUGGUACCAUAAUAUUGCAUUGUCACCCGACUUACACACGUAUGCAAAUUUUUAGCUUCAUCGGAAACCGGGAAGUGGGUCAAAUUUAACUUGCAAGAUUUGACCCGUA